RNAcentral lists this ribosomal RNA (512 nucleotides) under Cyclocoelidae sp. 431-16. RNAcentral describes it as "SSU rRNA". It matches the Rfam family "Eukaryotic small subunit ribosomal RNA", at positions 520 to 945 of the family's 1831-position model. The record is from RNAcentral. Lineage: Eukaryota; Metazoa; Platyhelminthes; Trematoda; Plagiorchiida; Cyclocoelidae.
ACAAUUUAAAUCCUUUAACGAGGAUCAACUGGAGGGCAAGUCUGGUGCCAGCAGCCGCGGUAACUCCAGCUCCAGAAGCGUAUAUUAAAGUUGUUGCAGUUAAAAAGCUCGUAGUUGGAUCUGGGUCGCAUGGCCGCAUGCCGUCGCUUGUGAACCUGUCCCAGUGACUGCUGGAACGGGCUUGCGAGUCGGUCUAGUGGUUGUGCUUCCUUUCUGCUGUGUCUGUUUACAGGUGUCAGCGUGAUUGGUGGGUUUACCCGCCGGUCCGCUGGCAUGCUUCUUGAUGCCUUUAAACGGGUGUCGGAGGCGGACAGCACGUUUACUUUGAACAAAUUUGAGUGCUCAAAGCAGGCCUUUGUGCCUGAAAAUUCUUGCAUGGAAUAAUGGAAUAGGACUUCGGUUCUAUUUUGUUGGUUUUCGGAUCCGAAGUAAUGGUUAAGAGGGACAGACGGGGGCAUUUGUAUGGCGGUGUUAGAGGUGAAAUUCUUGGAUCGCCGCCAGACAAACUACCG